GAGGAGAGUCAGAGGCACUGCUGAUGAUUCCGGGGCAAGAGCACUGACGACUCGGCUGUGCUUUGCUGAUUCCUCGCACGUCCCACUCCCUGGCUCGGACUCCUGUAGCAGCAGACGAGACAUGUUCCAGUGCAGCCUGCUAUGUGCAUUCCAGUUUUGCUGAUCCGUGCACCGAGAAGAUGAAGCGCUCGUCGCCCGAUGUCAGGGGU
Eriocheir sinensis (Chinese mitten crab) is the source of this 209-nucleotide long non-coding RNA. RefSeq lists it as uncharacterized. The transcript is spliced from 3 exons. The record is from RefSeq and is a predicted model, not a curated record. Lineage: Eukaryota; Metazoa; Arthropoda; Malacostraca; Decapoda; Varunidae.